UUGGCCGUAGCUUCAAAUGGUAGAGCGCUGCACUGUGAAUGCAGAACGUUGCGGGUUCGAAUCCCGUCGGCCGAC
Molecule: transfer RNA, 75 nt
Filed under: Acidobacteriota bacterium
Lineage: Bacteria; Pseudomonadati; Acidobacteriota
Description: Acidobacteria bacterium (rhizosphere metagenome) tRNA-His
Rfam family: tRNA
About the family: Transfer RNA (tRNA) molecules are approximately 80 nucleotides in length. Their secondary structure includes four short double-helical elements and three loops (D, anti-codon, and T loops).
Source: RNAcentral